CGCCCAGUCUGGUGGGGCAGACUGACUUUCAAAGUAAUGAGUGUACGUACAUGUUCUUGACACAGGUUUGUGGCAAUGCGUGAGAUGUUUACUGAGCUGAACCAUUUUCAAGGCUGAGGGAGCCAAGUGAAUGAUCACUGACUCCCCUCCUCAUGCACCUUUCCCAGUAGAUCUUCCAUUCUCCCCUGAUGGAGACCUCCUGACUCCUAGGCCAAGUUCUCGGGAGACUGCGUCAUUCGCAUGGACCCAGCUUUGUCCCCCAUCACAUCCUGGCCAUCAGUGGACCUUCUAAGUGUGGCCUCUAUCUUCUCACAUGGCUAGCAGAGUGUGCACAAUUGGUAGGAAAUGAAAUGCUCACAGCCAGCCAGGCCUGGAAAGGGUUCAUGCUGCUUAUUUUAACUAAAGAGUAGGCGGCCAGUUCUCUUCAUUCUUAUCCCCUGCUCAAUGAGUCAAGUUAGUACAUUAAUAAAGUAAUGCAUUAAUUAAUAGAUCCAUCAAACAUUUACUGAACACCUAUUUUGUGCCAGGCCACAGAGGCAGAUGUUUAGAAUACAAAGAUAAAUGGCUUCUGGUUGCUGCUCCCAGCUGAGGCUUUUCUCCUGGUUCGUAGGAGGAGGCUCUAGAAUCUGGAGAGCUGGCUGCUAGCCCUGGAUCCCUUGUUUCCUGAGAUACUCAACUUCCCAGCCUCCCUUGCAGCUAGUGGUAAUCAUGUGACCCACUUCUGGCCAGUAAGAUGAAAAAAGGAAGUUCACUGGACUGGCAGAGGGAGCUUGGGAGGGCUUUUGCUGAUGCCACUUGUUCUUCUUGCCAUAAAGAGUCUGUGUCCCUGGAGGCUGAGGAAGGAACCAGAAGUUGCACUUUCCAACAUGGAUCGCCUGCUAAUUUUCCAAGGCAGCUCAGCCCCUGCCAGCGUCCCCUCCCUCCUUUGGGCUGAGGGCCCAGGAACCCAGCCUCAAAGUUCAGCUUGCUUCCUCCAGCACGCACAUUUGGAAAUUGAAAUUUCCCACAUUUUCACCACACAAAAGCCAGGUUGUAUUUUUGUUCUCUUCAAAAUAUGCCAAAGGAAUUUUUCCUACCCCUUGAACUUUCUCCAAAAAUAAGUAGAAAAAGUCAAGACCAUUUUGCCCUGUAAGCUGAGAAUAGAAAAAUCAACAUGCAGGGUGCCAUUUCCAGGAUGUUACGAAACAGCGAACAUGUGAAUCCGUCUCAACACCAUUUGGCAACUUUGGGGAUACAGUAGAUGAUAUUUCUCACCCACAAACUCCUCACUGAGUUUAUAUUAACAUUUUGCUUUUUUUUUUUAAAAAAAAAGAAAAAAGAUUCUGAAAAAGGUAAGAAGCCUUGAUAAAUUACCACCACCUGGAUUAAAAUUCAGAGUCAGCACACUGACCACCAGCAAAUAAAACAUGAAACUAUACAGAUAACUUAGUAAAACAAAAAACGAUAGUGGCCCAAGAUAAAUUAAACUUGCAGCAUAAAGGUUGAAGCCAAGGAAGGAAGGGAAGUAUUUAUCCCAUAACUAAUGAAGACUGCAAAGAACUAAGUAUAAUCGUAAAAGUACAUGGAUUAUUCUCAACUCACCAGAUCAUCCAUUCCCAGGAUUGUCUGCGAUCCUGGUCUGGGCUUCCCAGGCCCCUGUAUCUGCUGCCUUCAAAACCCUGCAUGCGGGUCUCUUGUGUCUCCCCCACCCCCCCCCAUCUCCCAGCUCAGUGAGAAUCAUCUUUCACAGUUUGAUCACAUCACUCCCAGCUCUGCUUAUCUCUCCUGGCUUCCCUUCUCAAAGCCAAACAGCUAGCUCUGCCCCCAGGGCCCUUCUCCUGACCCCUGGCUCCUGACAGCCUACUCCCCAACCCCUGCUCAUCACUUCCCAGGAAUUUGCUUUAAGCAAGGGACCUGCCUGUGCACUGGCCUCCACUCAGCACGAGUCUGAGAGAGUCCAAGUAGAAAACAGGACACUUAGCUACCAUCUACUCCCAACCUCUCUCCUGAGGAGGACUCACCCUAAAGGUAAGCUGGCUGAGUCCAUCAGAAUUUGCUCCCAUGACUCGAGUAACCGGGAGCUCAUGCACACCUGUACGGAAGAAAAGCAGACAGAGGACAAGGCUUGCAGACGAAAAGUGUACAUCCAAACCCAUCUCUCCCAGCUACCAGCUGUGCCAUACUGGGCAAGCGAUGGGUCUUCUCUGGGGCUCAGACCUUCCGUCUGGAAAAUGAGGCUAAUGAGUCCUACCUCAUAGCCAUCAACGACAUCAGGAACAUCAUCAUCAUCAUCCCUGGACAAUUUCAGUGUGAAAGGAACGUGGUAUUGCAGCUAGUAAGACCUGAAUUGGAAUCCCAGCUCCAGAACUUGGGGAAAUGAGUCAACUUCUCUGACCUUCACUUUCCCCAUCUAUAAAGUAGGGAUAGAAAGGUCUCCCUCAAAGGGUGACUGUCUAGAUUGAAUAAGAUGACACAUGUAAAAAUGGCUUUGCAAACUGUUUAAUUGGAAUAAAUAUACGCAUUUUUUUCUGCUGAGCUAAAAC
This 2522-nucleotide long non-coding RNA is filed under the name Homo sapiens (human). Its description in RNAcentral is "HSALNT0178780". The record is from RNAcentral. Lineage: Eukaryota; Metazoa; Chordata; Mammalia; Primates; Hominidae.